Molecule: ribosomal RNA, 1647 nt
Filed under: Triticum aestivum (bread wheat)
Lineage: Eukaryota; Viridiplantae; Streptophyta; Magnoliopsida; Poales; Poaceae
Description: partial small subunit ribosomal RNA
Source: RNAcentral
AUGGGAUGCCCUAUCCGGUGUAAGCUAAACAUAGAUGGAACACAAUAUGUGGUCACUGAAUAUUUUGACGAGCACAACCACAAACUCAUAAAGAAGUUCGACCUGGUCAAAUUUCUGACCGCCCACAGAGGAUUCACCCCAGUCGAAAAGCAAUUCGUAAAGCUGCUACAUGAUUGUAACGUCGGUCCAUCAAGAAUGGUCCAGAUACUAUCACUCAUCCACAGCAAAAAGGGGAAACUGAGUAGAAUGCCCUACAUACCAGCUGACGUCACAAACCUACAGGCCAACUACCGUAGAGAGAGCAGGCUGGCUGACAUACAGGCUACAAUGUCCUACUUCGAUGAGAAAGCAAAGGAAGAUCCAGAUUUCUUCUACAGGAUAAGGUUGGACGAUGAGGACCGUGUCAGGAACAUGUAUUGGGUGGAUGGUGCUGCAAGGAGAGCCUACAAACAUUUCCGAGAUUGCAUUUCGUUCGACGCGACGUACCUCACCAAUAUGUACAAGAUGCCAUGCGCUCCGUUCAUAGGAAUAAAUAACCACAAUCAGUCAUUGCAAUUCGGCUGCGGGCUCGUUCGGAACAAAGACAGAGGGUACGUCUGGCUGUUCAAGACCUUCUUGGAGUGCAUGGAUGGACUUGCUUCGAUGAACAUAAUAACAGACCAGGAUUUCAGCAUGCGUGCAGGCAUAGAGGAGGUCUUUCCGUUGGCAGUGCACAGGCACUGCAGGUGGCACAUUAUAAAGAAGGCUGAGGAGACGCUAGAGUUUGAAAGGAGCUGGAUGGCCAUGGUUGAAACACAUCAAGUCCAAGAGAACUAGACGCUUGCUAGCCUGUGGGAGAAGCGAAUGUACUGGGUGCCCGCCUACUUCAUGCAGUGCUUCUUCCCCUUUCUGCAGACUACGCAGUGCAGCGAGGGGUUCAAUGCUGUUUUGAAGCGAUACGUGAGCCCUGGCAACUCAUUGCUACAAUUUGCCAAGCAGUACGCAGCUUUGCAACAAAAAAUUCUGGGAUCUGAGCUACAACAAGAAGCUACCACCGCGCUAAAGCAGCCGAAAUUGCUAACGUAUUUACCAAUGGAGAGGCAAUGAGCAAGAUAUACACAAACAAGAUCUUUAACAAAACCUGAAGACCCGGACAAAGGAAGGAACUACUUCGUGAAAGCCUCGAUCGAGCAAGGCGAAUACUACUGCCAAUGCUGCAAGUUCGAACGGGACGGCAUUGUGUGUUGUCACGUACUAAAAGUAAUGGACAUGAACGCUGAGAGACCUGAGUUAACCAUGGAAGCCGUGAGGCAUGUUGUGCUGACAAAGAACUAUGCUGAGCUAAUUGAUGAAGCGUGCAAGAGUGAUGAGACAGCGAGAGUCGUAGAAAAACACAGGAAGGCACUGAAAAUAGAGCUUGAUGAGAUAAAGAAGAAGAAAGCUGAGGAAGCCUUACACCGGUUCCCCCGCACAUCAAGUGUGCCUUCAUCGACGGGGCCAUCAUCUGAAAACUCGGAGAUAGGAUCUGGAACAGCAAGCACACAAACCCAGGCCAGGAACCCACCCCGUUCCAUCACAAAGGGUCGUCCAAGAGAGAUAAGGUACAAGUCAGGAUUGGAGAUUCAAGCAAAACACAAGAAAACGAAGAAAAGGGCGGGCUAUACAUGA